AACGAACGCUGGCGGCAUGCCUAACACAUGCAAGUCGAACGAAGUCUUCGGACUUAGUGGCGCACGGGUGCGUAACGCGUGGGAAUCUGCCCUUGGGUACGGAAUAACUCAGAGAAAUUUGUGCUAAUACCGUAUAAUGUCUUCGGACCAAAGAUUUAUCGCCCAAGGAUGAGCCCGCGUAAGAUUAGCCAGUUGGUGGGGUAAAAGCCUACCAAGGCGACGAUCUUUAGCUGGUCUGAGAGGAUGAUCAGCCACACUGGGACUGAGACACGGCCCAGACUCCUACGGGAGGCAGCAGUGGGGAAUAUUGGACAAUGGGCGAAAGCCUGAUCCAGCAAUGCCGCGUGAGUGAUGAAGGCCCUAGGGUUGUAAAGCUCUUUUACCAGGGAUGAUAAUGACGGUACCUGGAGAAUAAGCUCCGGCUAACUCCGUG
RNAcentral lists this ribosomal RNA (433 nucleotides) under uncultured bacterium. RNAcentral describes it as "partial 16S ribosomal RNA". It matches the Rfam family "Bacterial small subunit ribosomal RNA", at positions 29 to 507 of the family's 1533-position model. The record is from RNAcentral.